UAGAAGGUGGUGUAGUGGAAGCACCCAGAGUUUUGAUCUCUGGAGGAGGGGUUCGAGUCCCUUCUUUCUAA
RNAcentral lists this transfer RNA (71 nucleotides) under Ehirava fluviatilis (Malabar sprat). RNAcentral's name for it is "tRNA-Gln". It matches the Rfam family "tRNA". Rfam says of the family: Transfer RNA (tRNA) molecules are approximately 80 nucleotides in length. Their secondary structure includes four short double-helical elements and three loops (D, anti-codon, and T loops). The record is from RNAcentral. Lineage: Eukaryota; Metazoa; Chordata; Actinopteri; Clupeiformes; Clupeidae.